Molecule: ribosomal RNA, 568 nt
Filed under: Wolbachia endosymbiont of Aedes albopictus
Lineage: Bacteria; Pseudomonadati; Pseudomonadota; Alphaproteobacteria; Rickettsiales; Anaplasmataceae
Description: bacterial SSU rRNA
Rfam family: Bacterial small subunit ribosomal RNA
Source: RNAcentral
UAAUUGUUGGAAACGGCAACUAAUACCGUAUACGCCCUACGGGGGAAAAAUUUAUUGCUAUUAGAUGAGCCUAUAUUAGAUUAGCUAGUUGGUGGAGUAAUAGCCUACCAAGGCAAUGAUCUAUAGCUGAUCUGAGAGGAUGAUCAGCCACACUGGAACUGAGAUACGGUCCAGACUCCUACGGGAGGCAGCAGUGGGGAAUAUUGGACAAUGGGCGAAAGCCUGAUCCAGCCAUGCCGCAUGAGUGAAGAAGGCCUUUGGGUUGUAAAGCUCUUUUAGUGAGGAAGAUAAUGACGGUACUCACAGAAGAAGUCCUGGCUAACUCCGUGCCAGCAGCCGCGGUAAUACGGAGAGGGCUAGCGUUAUUCGGAAUUAUUGGGCGUAAAGGGCGCGUAGGCUGGUUAAUAAGUUAAAAGUGAAAUCCCGAGGCUUAACCUUGGAAUUGCUUUUAAAACUAUUAAUCUAGAGAUUGAAAGAGGAUAGAGGAAUUCCUGAUGUAGAGGUAAAAUUCGUAAAUAUUAGGAGGAACACCAGUGGCGAAGGCGUCUAUCUGGUUCAAAUCUGACGC